AGGUUCUUGGUAGGGUGGAUGCUGGCCUGCUGACCAUGACCAUGACUCAUGACAUUGUUAGUUACACCUGUGUUUUUCCUGCCAUGGAUCAAGGUGGGGCUAGAGCCUAUCCCAGCUGUCCUCGGGUGCAAGACACAAAAGUUCCUGGAAGGUGGGAAAAAGCUGGAGUACCUGGAGAAGACCUCCACACAGAAAGCAACUAUGAUCCUCGGGGAGCUGCACAGCCACCAGAACUGAAGGGCUUCAACCAAUGACGAGGCAGGAACAGAGAAGCCCCGAGGCUAGUGAGGAGUCAAGUCUGUCCUCCUUUGCUUUGCUGUUCCUGUGGGGGAACACAUUUUGUCUUCCAUAGAAGGCCUGGAACUGUGUACUAUGGACAAAGGACAAACUGUAUGAAGGGUUUUUCAUUCAAUACAGAGAAUGUGAUGUGAUCUACAUGAUUAGUUGUUCCGCCUGGUUAAAGUCCACCAACAUCAGCAGGGCAUGAAACCCUCCUGCCUCUUUGCCCUUCAUGGAACAUAGAUUUAUAUACACUACAUUGUCUUUUAACUUUAUCACAUGGCAGCAACUCAGUGCAGAUGUGGUAAACGACCUGCUAAAGUUCAAAUCGAACAUCAGAAUGGGGAAGAAAGAUAAAUUGAGCGACUUUUAAUGUUGCUUGGUGUUUGGUGUCCAACUGGGAUUUUUCCACUCAACUAUCUCUAUGGUUUACAGAGAAUGGUCUAGGAAAAAAGAGAGGAAAAAUCCAGUGAGCAGCAGUUCUCUGGGUGAAAAAGUAUUGUUGAUGUCAGAGGUCAGAGAAUGGCCAGACCGCUUCGAGCUGAUAGGAAGGCAACAGUAACUCAGAUAACCACUUGUAACAACACGCUGACCCUUGAAGCAGAUGGGCUACAAUAGCCCACACUAGGUGCUAUUCCUCACAACUGAGAACAGAAAACUGAGGCUACAAUUCACACAACUUCACCAAAACUGGAAAAUAAGAUUGAAAAAAAUGUUGCCUGAGUCUCAAUUUCUGCUGUGACAUUCUCAUGGAGGGUCAGGAUUUGUUGUAAACAACAUGCAUCCUGCCUUAAUCAACAGUUCAGGCUGCUGGUGGCCUAACAGCGUGUGGGAUAUUUUCUUGGCACACUUCGAGCUCCUUAAUGCCAACUGAGCAUCAUU
Long non-coding RNA from Oreochromis aureus, 1161 nucleotides. RefSeq lists it as uncharacterized. The transcript has 3 exons. Lineage: Eukaryota; Metazoa; Chordata; Actinopteri; Cichliformes; Cichlidae. The record is from RefSeq and is a predicted model, not a curated record.